RNAcentral lists this ribosomal RNA (229 nucleotides) under uncultured bacterium. RNAcentral describes it as "partial 16S ribosomal RNA". It matches the Rfam family "Bacterial small subunit ribosomal RNA", at positions 568 to 796 of the family's 1533-position model. The record is from RNAcentral.
UGCGUAGGUGGUAUCGUGUGUCGGAUGUGAAAGCCCAUGGCUCAACUGUGGAACUGCAUUCGAAACUGCGGAACUAGAGUACAGGAGGGGAGAGCGGAAUUCUUGGUGUAGCGGUGAAAUGCGUUGAUAUCAAGAAGAACACCGGUGGCGAAGGCGGCUCUCUGGAAUGUUACUGACACUGAGGCACGAAAGCUGGGGGAGCGAACAGGAUUAGAUACCCUGGUAGUCC